This 334-nucleotide long non-coding RNA is filed under the name Homo sapiens (human). Its description in RNAcentral is "HSALNT0145858". Lineage: Eukaryota; Metazoa; Chordata; Mammalia; Primates; Hominidae. The record is from RNAcentral.
CAGUGGCGCUGCGCUGAAUGCAACUGCGCGCGCCCGCCGGGUGAGCCAGCGAUCUGAGCCAGGCGGGGGCGGCCCGACCUUUCCCGCCCAGCCUGGGUCAGAGGAAGCCGAAAGCGGCCUCAGCAAGGGGUUCGUUCCGGGCCUCCAGCUAUCAGCUCCCGAUCUCGUGUUUGAGGGUAGCGACCCCGAUUUCUGUUUGCAUGCACAGCCAGCAGCCCUAGCGCCAGAUCCUAAAGCUGGAUAUCUUUUAACUGGGCUACCAGCCCGGGCCUCAAAGUUUUGGUGAGGGCCGCCAGGCUCAGGCCCCAGCGAAGCCCCGAGCGCCAUGGCCGAC